UCCCUGGUGGUCUAGUGGUUAGAAAUCAGCACUUUCACUGCUGCAGCCUGGGUUCAAUCCCUGGUCUGGGAA
RNAcentral lists this transfer RNA (72 nucleotides) under Sus scrofa (pig). It matches the Rfam family "tRNA". Rfam says of the family: Transfer RNA (tRNA) molecules are approximately 80 nucleotides in length. Lineage: Eukaryota; Metazoa; Chordata; Mammalia; Artiodactyla; Suidae. The record is from Rfam by way of RNAcentral.